Callithrix jacchus (white-tufted-ear marmoset) is the source of this 1752-nucleotide long non-coding RNA. RefSeq lists it as uncharacterized. The record is from RefSeq and is a predicted model, not a curated record. Lineage: Eukaryota; Metazoa; Chordata; Mammalia; Primates; Cebidae.
AAUAUAUGAAUAUGUGAUGUUGAAUAUAAGAUUAAAAGAAAGAAAGCCCAUCCCUUAUUUUCUUAGAGCGUAACUAUAGGCUAUUAAAAUACAUUGAAGUGGGUUAAAAGGCAGAACUUAACUUCAACUUCCUUCUGACCACCUGUAUGGUAUAUUCUCAACACUGGGGCCAUUGGUUUUGUGGCUUUGUUUCCUGCUCACUGGACUGCCUGGAGGAUAGGCUUAGGGUGUGACUUUGCUCAUUUCCUUUUUGUCACCUCACAAAGCCCUGCUUUGUUUGCUUUAUCUAAGACCUCUGUGCUACCUAGCUAAGCUUGGCUUCCUGUCCAGUGCUGUUCACUCUGUCUCCAUGGAUCCAGCUCAAUUGGAAGAAAAACCAGCUGAAGGCCUGAGUGUCUACUGAGUUUUCAAUGACUUCCUCAAACUUCUCACUUACCCUUAAGUGCUGGCAUCAGCCAGGUCAUAGGAGAAGGGACUCUCUAUAAGAGAGGUUUCUUUGGAAAGAAUUGGACCUGAUGGAGGGUCAUUCUAUCAGAAGGAAUUUUUUAGGUUUCUUCCUUACAAUUAACAUCCCUGAAAGGUGCAGAUACAUGUUAUCUACAGGGUAACACUUGUAGAUAUGAUGUAAUAGGCUUAUACCACUGGAGAUUGAACAGUCAACCUUCUGAAAACAGUGCACACCACCGGAAGGGCAAGAAACAAACUACUUAAUAUCAUUUUGACCCUGAAGUCAGGAAGUCCUCUUUGACAAGACACACACACACACAAAAUCACAAAGGAAAAGAAUGACAACUUGACUCCAUUGAAAUUUAAAACAGGUGUACAUCAGAAGAUAUUAUCUAUACAAUUAAAAGAUAAGCAAUGAUACAGAAGAAAAUAAUUGCCUCACACAGAGCAAACCUGGAUUGUUUUCUAGAAAGUAAAAAGAAAUCUUAAAAUAAUAAAUAUGAAAAAGACAAACAAACAAAUAAAAAAGUAGACAAAGAUUCAAACAGGCAAAUUCACAAAAGAGGGAAUUCAGAUGGUCAAUAAACACAUUAAAAUAUGUUUAAAGUGCAGUAACCAGAGAAAUGCAAGUGUAAAACAAGGUGCCAUAUUCUACUCAUUUGAUUUUCAAACAUUAAAAAUGUUGAAAACAUCAAUUGCUGUGACAUCAAAUAUCCUUAUAGAUGGCUAGUGAUGGAAGUACGUACACAUUAUGAAGUUUUGUUUUUAGCAAUGUUUGGUAAGAUUUGAAACUUUUGUUCUAUUUAAAAUUUGUCUUGGUGCAUGGGGUGGAGUAUGGAUUUGAUGUAAACAUUUUUGGAUGUUCACCUAGCUGCUUUAAUACCAUUUAUUAAACAGUACCUCUUUUUCAUGCUGCCUUGAAAUGACAUCUUUGCCAUAUACUAAAUUCACAUGUGUAUUUGGGUCAGCUUCUGAAUUUACUAAUCUGUUCCUCCAUCUGUCUACUCAUAUCACUACCUCCUGUUUUAGUUAUUACAGCUUCACAGUUUGAUUUAAUGCAUGUAUUAUAAGAAUUACUUUUUUCUGUUUGAUUUUUUCUCCUUUUUCUCUGCUGUGUUUCUUUUUGUUUUUGAUUUUUUUUCUUUAUAUUGCCCUGUACUGAUUUUGUUCAGACAUGCCUCAUUUUAUUGUGCUUUGCUUUCCUGUGCUUUGCAGAUACUGCAUUUUUUCCCCAGAUUAAAGGUCUGUGGCAACCCUGCAUCGAGCAAGUCUAUAGGCAUAAUUUUUCCAUUAGUAUGUACUCAC